UGGGGAAUCUUGCACAAUGGGGGAAACCCUGAUGCAGCGACGCCGCGUGAAGGAUGAAGUAUUUCGGUAUGUAAACUUCGAAAGAAUAGGAAGAAUAAAUGACGGUACUAUUUAUAAGGUCCGGCUAACUACGUGCCAGCAGCCGCGGUAAUACGUAGGGACCAAGCGUUGUUCGGAUUUACUGGGCGUAAAGGGCGCGUAGGCGGCAUGACAAGUCACUUGUGAAAUCUCUGGGCUUAACCCAGAACGGCCAAGUGAUACUGUCGCGCUAGAGUGCAGAAGAGGCAAUCGGAAUUCUUGGUGUAGCGGUGAAAUGCGUAGAUAUCAAGAGGAACACCUGAGGUGAAGACGGGUUGCUGGGCUGACACUGACGCUGAGGCGCGAAAGCCAGGGGAGCAAACGGGAUUAGAUACCCCCGUAGUCCCUGAGCGGGCUGGCAAGGCGCAU
Molecule: ribosomal RNA, 447 nt
Filed under: uncultured bacterium
Lineage: Bacteria
Description: bacterial SSU rRNA
Rfam family: Bacterial small subunit ribosomal RNA
Source: RNAcentral